CUUAGAGGUAGUGAUCUCAGAUCAUUGUCACCAAGCACUUGUGAACGGAAAUCUGCUCUGGAGUAGAGUAGCCAACAGCAGUUAUCAUUGCUACUCCAUAGCAGCUCCUACCUUGAACUGUACCUGGUCAGCCCAGUCCCCAAUGGACCACAGGGAAGUAGUUACUGUUCACAUAAGGACAUGACCAACAGACAAUUUCCCUGGAUAUUCAAUUUUAAAAAGAUCCUGAUAUGGGAUAAUAUAAGUGGGUGUGUAUCUGACCACGGGUGGGUGUAUAACAGUAGGUUAUUAAAAGUACAUAUGUAGCUCUCACCAAACUUAAUCCUAAGAAAAAGUAUGAUCUCCACCAAAGAGGACAUUAUUUGUGCAAAAUGUAGUAUUGGAGCACAGCACGUUCACCAGGAGUCAGCUGUAGGCUCUGUAAUAUGUAUGUGUGUGUGUGUGUGUGUGUGUCUCUAUGUAUAUAUAUGUGUAUAUAUGUGUGUGUAUAUAUAUAUAUAUGUGUAUAUAUAUGUAUGAUAGGUUGUGCGUUAUAUUGAUAGCUCUCCCAAAAUGUACUCGUUUUUUAAAAUGUAGAGUGACCCGUUGUACUGCUACUUGAAUGAUAAUUAACUGGUGAACUGGGUUUAAGAUACAGACAUUUAGUUAUUCUCUAUUUGACUUUACACUAAUUCAUUAUUACAAUGAAGCUUUUUCAGCAAUAGAUCAUUUAGCUGAUCUUUGUUCCAUAAUCUAUCUUGUUCUAUCACCAAGUGUGUGACUCUGUCCCAAAAUGUUCAACCUGCUCUUGGCUGUGCUGUCUAAUUCCACCAUCAUUCACUUUCACCGCUCUGAAUUUAUGUUGCAGACUUUUUGUUCCUGGCUAGAUUGUUUCCAAAGGAUAAAAAAGAACGGAAACAAGGAAAUCAGCAUUUAUCAUUCUUUAUGAGAAAAAUAACAAAUAUUAUUUUGAGGCAUUAAAUGUCUGCAAGGAAUUAAGCUUAACACAGACAAUUUAUACCCUCCAGGUUUUUGUUUUUCACUGAUCACAAUGCAGAUUUUCAUCAGCGUAAAGAGACAAGGCAAUUUUUUUUUUCUUACCCACAUUUUUAAUAUGAUUUUAUGUUUUAAUGCAUUAAAAAAUAUAUAUACAUUGAAGGGGGAAAAAAAAAAACAACAAUCUUUGAGUUAAUCCCCUUAUUUGCAGUUAAUUGGAGGCCGGAGAUAGCUGGAAUGGUCCAAAUGGGCCUUGAAUUAAAGUGGUACUGUCACCGUCUGGGGAGUUUGCACAUUUCAUCACUAGGGGUUCAGUUUCUGGAAUGGCAGGUAAAAGUUAGAUUUACUUGACUGAACCUGUCCCUUACGGGUGCUGCCAUCUUCCUCUGGACGGUUCUCUUCAGCCGUUUCGACAUGCAUGCGUGGGACUGCGGCAUUGAGGUCUAUAGGGGAUUCCGUGCAGCCUUCACUGAUGAUGGUUAUGUGAAUUGACAUUUCUGGACACUUCCGUUCAGUGUCUAGAAAUGUUAGUCUAUACUUUGUCUCAGUAUCUCCUGACUGGGUUGGAAUUUCAGUGAAUUCCCGUGAAAUUUCAUACUUUAUGAUAGGGGUGACAGUGUUACUUUAAUUUUACUACUUAAAUGUACCCACCAUACCAAAAUACUCAUGCUCUUGUAAUUUAUAGCCUUUGGAUUUUAUUAAUAGUUUACAUGUGGGGACAUAGUUUAAUCCACAGUGGUAACAUUAGCGAAUGAACAAAUUAAGGGCUCUGACGCUUUUAUUGCUGUAAAAAAUAGCUCUUUAAUAUUUGUAUAUCCUUUACAUCACUGCGACUGACAUUAUGGUGAAUUUCUAAUAAACUAAAAAAAACAUAUUUUGUGGAGAUCACAUUACUCUGGAGUUCUGUGAUACUCCUUUACUCAAUCGUUUACUUUUAGAUUGCUUUGGAGCUUUGUGAUAAUCAUGCACAUCACAUGUCGAGAAUUUUAUCGUUGUGACACACGAUGAGCCUUAUUGUCGAGGAGCUCUGUAAUCUAAUCAUACUCGCUGUACAUUAUUAUCUAUGUGGUUUGUUCUCAAACCAGUCCUCAUGGCACACCAAGAAUCCAAGAUUUAUG
RNAcentral lists this long non-coding RNA (2093 nucleotides) under Pelobates cultripes (western spadefoot toad). Lineage: Eukaryota; Metazoa; Chordata; Amphibia; Anura; Pelobatidae. The record is from RNAcentral.